This 551-nucleotide ribosomal RNA is filed under the name uncultured bacterium. Its description in RNAcentral is "bacterial SSU rRNA". It matches the Rfam family "Bacterial small subunit ribosomal RNA", at positions 355 to 896 of the family's 1533-position model. The record is from RNAcentral.
UAGGGAAUCUUCNUGCAAUGGACGGAAGUCUGACCGAGCAACGCCGCGUGAGUGAAGAAGGUUUUCGGAUCGUAAAGCUCUGUUGUAAGAGAAGAACGAGUGUGAGAGUGGAAAGUUCACACUGUGACGGUAUCUUACCAGAAAGGGACGGCUAACUACGUGCCAGCAGCCGCGGUAAUACGUAGGUCCCGAGCGUUGUCCGGAUUUAUUGGGCGUAAAGCGAGCGCAGGCGGUUAGAUAAGUCUGAAGUUAAAGGCUGUGGCUUAACCAUAGUAGGCUUUGGAAACUGUUUAACUUGAGUGCAAGAGGGGAGAGUGGAAUUCCAUGUGUAGCGGUGAAAUGCGUAGAUAUAUGGAGGAACACCGGUGGCGAAAGCGGCUCUCUGGCUUGUAACUGACGCUGAGGCUCGAAAGCGUGGGGAGCAAACAGGAUUAGAUACCCUGGUAGUCCACGCUGUAAACGAUGAGUGCUAGGUGUUAGACCCUUUCCGGGGUUUAGUGCCGUAGCUAACGCAUUAAGCACUCCGCCUGGGGAGUACGACCGCAAGGUUG